Molecule: ribosomal RNA, 458 nt
Filed under: Lexiphanes sp. BMNH#704417
Lineage: Eukaryota; Metazoa; Arthropoda; Insecta; Coleoptera; Chrysomelidae
Description: partial 16S ribosomal RNA
Rfam family: Bacterial large subunit ribosomal RNA
Source: RNAcentral
GUAUUUUGACUGUGCUAGGUAGCAUAAUCAUUAGUUUCUUGAUUAGAAACUGGAAUGAAAGGUUUAAUGAAAAAGUAUCUGUCUCUUUUAUAUAUUUAGAAUUUUAUUUUUAAGUAAGAAAGCUUAAUUUUUUUUAAAAGACGAGAAGACCCUAUAGAGUUUGAUAGAUUAUAUUAUUAUUAAUUUAUUAGAUUGAAAAAAUCUAUUAUACUAGUAUAAUUAAUUUAAUUGGGGUGAUUAAAAAAUUUAUUGAACUUUUUUUACUAUUAACAGUAAUAUUUGGUUAGUUUGAUCCAAAAUAAUUUUGGCUGAAAGAAAAAAUUACCUUAGGGAUAACAGCAUAAUCUUUUUUAAGAGUUCUAAUCAAUAAAAGGGGUUAUGACCUCGAUGUUGGAUUAAAAUUAACUUUGGGCGCAAAAGUUCAAUAGUUAGGUCUGUUCGACCUUUAAAAUUUUACA